UCCGUGGGUGGAUAAUUAAGUCAGAGGUGAAAUCCUGCAGCUCAACUGUAGAAUUGCCUUUGAUACUGGUUAUCUUGAAUUAUUGUGAAGUGGUUAGAAUAUGUAGUGUAGCGGUGAAAUGCAUAGAUAUUACAUAGAAUACCAAUUGCGAAGGCAGAUCACUAACAAUAUAUUGACACUGAUGGACGAAAGCGUGGGGAGCGAACAGGAUUAGAUACCCUGGUAGUCC
RNAcentral lists this ribosomal RNA (229 nucleotides) under uncultured bacterium. Its description in RNAcentral is "partial 16S ribosomal RNA". It matches the Rfam family "Bacterial small subunit ribosomal RNA", at positions 568 to 796 of the family's 1533-position model. The record is from RNAcentral.